GACGAACGCUGGCGGCGUGCUUAACACAUGCAAGUCGAACGGAAAGGCCCUGCUUUUGUGGGGCGCUCGAGUGGCGAACGGGUGAGUAACACGUGAGUAACCUGCCCCUGACUUUGGGAUAACUUCAGGAAACUGGGGCUAAUACCGGAGAGGAGCUCCUGCUGCAUGGUGGUGGGUGGAAAGUUUCGGCGGUUGGGGAUGGACUCGCGGCUUAUAGGCUGGUUGGUGGGGUAGUGGCUUACCAAGGGUUUGACGGGUAGCCGGCAUGGGAGGGGGACCGGCCCCAUUGGGCCUGGGAUAGGGCCCAGAUUCCAACGGGGGGCAGCGGUGGGGAAUAUUGCACAAUGGGCCGACGCCUGAGGCAGCAACGCCGCGUGCGGGAUAACGGCCUUCGGGUUUAAAACCGCUUUGGCAGGUGACGAGGUGUUAGUGACGGUAAUUAGUUAAGAAGCACCGGCUAACUACGUG
This 468-nucleotide ribosomal RNA is filed under the name uncultured bacterium. Its description in RNAcentral is "partial 16S ribosomal RNA". It matches the Rfam family "Bacterial small subunit ribosomal RNA", at positions 28 to 507 of the family's 1533-position model. The record is from RNAcentral.